RNAcentral lists this small nucleolar RNA (106 nucleotides) under Gossypium hirsutum (cotton). RNAcentral describes it as "Plant small nucleolar RNA R71". It matches the Rfam family "Plant small nucleolar RNA R71". From Rfam's summary of the family: R71 is a member of the C/D box family of snoRNAs containing the C (UGAUGA) and D (CUGA) box motifs. Multiple nearly identical copies of this snoRNA have been identified in Arabidopsis, and it is thought to function as a 2'-O-ribose methylation guide for 18S ribosomal RNA. RNAcentral also lists the same sequence under 1 other name. Lineage: Eukaryota; Viridiplantae; Streptophyta; Magnoliopsida; Malvales; Malvaceae. The record is from Rfam by way of RNAcentral.
AGUCCAUGGUGUGGGCACUUCCUUAGCAUCAUCUUGAAAUGCUCUCACGCCUUGUAAAGGGUUUCACUUUCAUAUUGUUUAAAAUUAGUUGUUUCUCGCUGAAGUU